GCAGCAUAAUGGAUAGCAAUAUCUAUGGUGGCGACCGGCGCACGGGUGCGUAACGCGUAUGCAACCUACCUUUAACAGGGGGAUAACACUGAGAAAUUGGUACUAAUACCCCAUAAUAUCAUAGAAGGCAUCUUUUAUGGUUGAAAAUUCCGAUGGUUAGAGAUGGGCAUGCGUUGUAUUAGCUAGUUGGUGGGGUAACGGCUCACCAAGGCGACGAUACAUAGGGGGACUGAGAGGUUAACCCCCCACACUGGUACUGAGACACGGACCAGACUCCUACGGGAGGCAGCAGUGAGGAAUAUUGGUCAAUGGACGCAAGUCUGAACCAGCCAUGCCGCGUGCAGGAUGACGGCUCUAUGAGUUGUAAACUGCUUUUGUACGAGGGUAAACGCAGAUACGUGUAUCUGUCUGAAAGUAUCGUACGAAUAAGGAUCGGCUAACUCCGUGCCAGCAGCCGCGGUAAUACGGAGGAUUCAAGCGUUAUCCGGAUUUAUUGGGUUUAAAGGGUGCGUAGGCGGUUUGAUAAGUUAGAGGUGAAAUUUCGGGGCUCAACCCUGAACGUGCCUCUAAUACUGUUGAGCUAGAGAGUAGUUGCGGUAGGCGGAAUGUAUGGUGUAGCG
This 620-nucleotide ribosomal RNA is filed under the name uncultured Bacteroidales bacterium. RNAcentral describes it as "bacterial SSU rRNA". It matches the Rfam family "Bacterial small subunit ribosomal RNA", at positions 64 to 680 of the family's 1533-position model. The record is from RNAcentral. Lineage: Bacteria; Pseudomonadati; Bacteroidota; Bacteroidia; Bacteroidales.